This 2451-nucleotide ribosomal RNA is filed under the name Escherichia coli. Its description in RNAcentral is "partial 23S ribosomal RNA". It matches the Rfam family "Bacterial large subunit ribosomal RNA", at positions 165 to 2640 of the family's 2925-position model. Lineage: Bacteria; Pseudomonadati; Pseudomonadota; Gammaproteobacteria; Enterobacterales; Enterobacteriaceae. The record is from RNAcentral.
CAUAGGUUAAUGAGGCGAACCGGGGGAACUGAAACAUCUAAGUACCCCGAGGAAAAGAAAUCAACCGAGAUUCCCCCAGUAGCGGCGAGCGAACGGGGAGCAGCCCAGAGCCUGAAUCAGUGUGUGUGUUAGUGGAAGCGUCUGGAAAGGCGCGCGAUACAGGGUGACAGCCCCGUACACAAAAAUGCACAUGCUGUGAGCUCGAUGAGUAGGGCGGGACACGUGGUAUCCUGUCUGAAUAUGGGGGGACCAUCCUCCAAGGCUAAAUACUCCUGACUGACCGAUAGUGAACCAGUACCGUGAGGGAAAGGCGAAAAGAACCCCGGCGAGGGGAGUGAAAAAGAACCUGAAACCGUGUACGUACAAGCAGUGGGAGCACGCUUAGGCGUGUGACUGCGUACCUUUUGUAUAAUGGGUCAGCGACUUAUAUUCUGUAGCAAGGUUAACCGAAUAGGGGAGCCGAAGGGAAACCGAGUCUUAACUGGGCGUUAAGUUGCAGGGUAUAGACCCGAAACCCGGUGAUCUAGCCAUGGGCAGGUUGAAGGUUGGGUAACACUAACUGGAGGACCGAACCGACUAAUGUUGAAAAAUUAGCGGAUGACUUGUGGCUGGGGGUGAAAGGCCAAUCAAACCGGGAGAUAGCUGGUUCUCCCCGAAAGCUAUUUAGGUAGCGCCUCGUGAAUUCAUCUCCGGGGGUAGAGCACUGUUUCGGCAAGGGGGUCAUCCCGACUUACCAACCCGAUGCAAACUGCGAAUACCGGAGAAUGUUAUCACGGGAGACACACGGCGGGUGCUAACGUCCGUCGUGAAGAGGGAAACAACCCAGACCGCCAGCUAAGGUCCCAAAGUCAUGGUUAAGUGGGAAACGAUGUGGGAAGGCCCAGACAGCCAGGAUGUUGGCUUAGAAGCAGCCAUCAUUUAAAGAAAGCGUAAUAGCUCACUGGUCGAGUCGGCCUGCGCGGAAGAUGUAACGGGGCUAAACCAUGCACCGAAGCUGCGGCAGCGACGCUUAUGCGUUGUUGGGUAGGGGAGCGUUCUGUAAGCCUGUGAAGGUGUGCUGUGAGGCAUGCUGGAGGUAUCAGAAGUGCGAAUGCUGACAUAAGUAACGAUAAAGCGGGUGAAAAGCCCGCUCGCCGGAAGACCAAGGGUUCCUGUCCAACGUUAAUCGGGGCAGGGUGAGUCGACCCCUAAGGCGAGGCCGAAAGGCGUAGUCGAUGGGAAACAGGUUAAUAUUCCUGUACUUGGUGUUACUGCGAAGGGGGGACGGAGAAGGCUAUGUUGGCCGGGCGACGGUUGUCCCGGUUUAAGCGUGUAGGCUGGUUUUCCAGGCAAAUCCGGAAAAUCAAGGCUGAGGCGUGAUGACGAGGCACUACGGUGCUGAAGCAACAAAUGCCCUGCUUCCAGGAAAAGCCUCUAAGCAUCAGGUAACAUCAAAUCGUACCCCAAACCGACACAGGUGGUCAGGUAGAGAAUACCAAGGCGCUUGAGAGAACUCGGGUGAAGGAACUAGGCAAAAUGGUGCCGUAACUUCGGGAGAAGGCACGCUGAUAUGUAGGUGAAGUCCCUCGCGGAUGGAGCUGAAAUCAGUCGAAGAUACCAGCUGGCUGCAACUGUUUAUUAAAAACACAGCACUGUGCAAACACGAAAGUGGACGUAUACGGUGUGACGCCUGCCCGGUGCCGGAAGGUUAAUUGAUGGGGUCAGCGCAAGCGAAGCUCUUGAUCGAAGCCCCGGUAAACGGCGGCCGUAACUAUAACGGUCCUAAGGUAGCGAAAUUCCUUGUCGGGUAAGUUCCGACCUGCACGAAUGGCGUAAUGAUGGCCAGGCUGUCUCCACCCGAGACUCAGUGAAAUUGAACUCGCUGUGAAGAUGCAGUGUACCCGCGGCAAGACGGAAAGACCCCGUGAACCUUUACUAUAGCUUGACACUGAACAUUGAGCCUUGAUGUGUAGGAUAGGUGGGAGGCUUUGAAGUGUGGACGCCAGUCUGCAUGGAGCCGACCUUGAAAUACCACCCUUUAAUGUUUGAUGUUCUAACGUUGACCCGUGAUCCGGGUUGCGGACAGUGUCUGGUGGGUAGUUUGACUGGGGCGGUCUCCUCCUAAAGAGUAACGGAGGAGCACGAAGGUUGGCUAAUCCUGGUCGGACAUCAGGAGGUUAGUGCAAUGGCAUAAGCCAGCUUGACUGCGAGCGUGACGGCGCGAGCAGGUGCGAAAGCAGGUCAUAGUGAUCCGGUGGUUCUGAAUGGAAGGGCCAUCGCUCAACGGAUAAAAGGUACUCCGGGGAUAACAGGCUGAUACCGCCCAAGAGUUCAUAUCGACGGCGGUGUUUGGCACCUCGAUGUCGGCUCAUCACAUCCUGGGGCUGAAGUAGGUCCCAAGGGUAUGGCUGUUCGCCAUUUAAAGUGGUACGCGAGCUGGGUUUAGAACGUCGUGAGACAGUUCGGUCCCUA